GGGUCUGUCCAUUGGUCGGGCUUUACGGUCCGUACUGGUGAGAUGGGUUCCUACCUUCUGAAUAACCGGCAUGCCAUUCAGUUGGUGCGCCGGGGAAGCAGAGCUAUUACCUUGAAAAAAUUAGAGUGCUUAAAGCAGGCUAUUGCUUGAAUAGAUUAGCAUGGAAUAAUAAAAUAGGACGGCAUGGUCCUAUUUUGUUGGUUUCUAGGAUCACCGUA
This 218-nucleotide ribosomal RNA is filed under the name Glomeromycotina sp. Its description in RNAcentral is "partial small subunit ribosomal RNA". The stretch from base 93 to 218 matches the Rfam family "Eukaryotic small subunit ribosomal RNA", at positions 738 to 864 of the family's 1831-position model. Lineage: Eukaryota; Fungi; Glomeromycota. The record is from RNAcentral.